GAUGAACGCUGGCGGCGUGCUUAACACAUGCAAGUCGAACGGAAAGGCCAGUGCUUGCACUGGUACUCGAGUGGCGAACGGGUGAGUAACACGUGGGUGAUCUGCCCUGCACUUCGGGAUAAGCCUGGGAAACUGGGUCUAAUACCGGAUAGGACCACAUUUUGGAUGGUGUGGUGGAAAGUUUUUCGGUGUGGGAUGAGCUCGCGGCCUAUCAGCUUGUUGGUGGGGUAAUGGCCUACCAAGGCGUCGACGGGUAGCCGGCCUGAGAGGGUGUACGGCCACAUUGGGACUGAGAUACGGCCCAGACUCCUACGGGAGGCAGCAGUGGGGAAUAUUGCACAAUGGGCGCAAGCCUGAUGCAGCGACGCCGCGUGGGGGAUGACGGCCUUCGGGUUGUAAACUCCUUUCGCUAGGGACGAAGCGUAUUUGUGACGGUACCUGGAGAAGAAGCACCGGCUAACUACGUGCCAGCCGCCGCAGUAA
This 483-nucleotide ribosomal RNA is filed under the name uncultured bacterium. RNAcentral describes it as "partial 16S ribosomal RNA". It matches the Rfam family "Bacterial small subunit ribosomal RNA", at positions 28 to 523 of the family's 1533-position model. The record is from RNAcentral.